CAGAAUCUCUAGUGGCACAGCUAGCACUGCGAUGCCGUACCUUAGACCACUGAGCCACUCGGGAGGCAGGGUGUUAAUAUUCUGAGCCAGUGGUGGACAAGGAUGAGGAUGCCUCGCGGCUAGGUCAGAGAGUCAUUCAGUGGUGGACAGAGGAUGAGGACGCCUCGCGGCUAGAUCAGAGAGUCAUUCAGUGGUGGACAGAGGAUGAGGACGCCUCGCGGCUAGAUCAGAGAGUAAUUCAGUGGUGGACAGAGGAUGAGGACGCCUCGCGGCUAGGUCAGAGAGUCAUUCAGUGGUGGACAGAGGAUGAGGACGCCUCACGGCUAGGUCAGAGAGUCAUUCAGUGGUGGACAGAGGAUGAGGACGCCUCACAGCUAGGUCAGAGAGUCAUUCAGUGGUGGACAGAGGAUGAGGACGCCUCACAGCUAGGUCAGAGAGUCAUUCAGUGGUGGACAGAGGAUGAGGACGCCUCACAGCUAGGUCAGAGAGUCAUUCAGUGGUGGACAGAGGAUGAGGACGCCUCACAGCUAGGUCAGAGAGUCAUUCAGUGGUGGACAGAGGAUGAGGACGCCUCACAGCUAGGUCAGAGAGUCAUUCAGUGGUGGACAGAGGAUGAGGACGCCUCACAGCUAGGUCAGAGAGUCAUUCAGUGGUGGACAGAGGAUGAGGACGCCUCACAGCUAGGUCAGAGAGUCAUUCAGUGGUGGACAGAGGAUGAGGACGCCUCACAGCUAGGUCAGAGAGUAAUUCAGUGGUGGACAGAGGAUGAGGAUGCCUCGCGGCUAGGUCAGAGAGUCAUUCAGUGGUGGACAGAGGAUGAGGACGCCUCACAGCUAGGUCAGAGAGUCAUUCAGUGGUGGACAGAGGAUGAGGACGCCUCACAGCUAGGUCAGAGAGUCAUUCAGUGGUGGACAGAGGAUGAGGACGCCUCACAGCUAGGUCAGAGAGUCAUUCAGUGGUGGACAGAGGAUGAGGACGCCUCACAGCUAGGUCAGAGAGUCAUUCAGUGGUGGGUCCAAAGUCUGCUCUGCCGACACACUAAUACUUCCACACACAUUCUCAAA
Oncorhynchus keta (chum salmon) is the source of this 1064-nucleotide long non-coding RNA. RefSeq lists it as uncharacterized. The record is from RefSeq and is a predicted model, not a curated record. The transcript is spliced from 6 exons. Lineage: Eukaryota; Metazoa; Chordata; Actinopteri; Salmoniformes; Salmonidae.